CACAAGAAUGAGGAUCUGAGUUGGAACCAAAGAACCUAUCCCAAAAUUGCCACAGCCUUGGCCCCUCAACCCGCUGGAGAAACAGGAUCCUGGUCAGGUUGGCAAGAU
Mastomys coucha (southern multimammate mouse) is the source of this 108-nucleotide long non-coding RNA. RefSeq lists it as uncharacterized. NCBI's taxonomy places the organism in Eukaryota, Metazoa, Chordata, Mammalia, Rodentia, Muridae. The record is from RefSeq and is a predicted model, not a curated record. The transcript has 2 exons.